This is a long non-coding RNA of Ictalurus furcatus (blue catfish), 361 nucleotides long. RefSeq lists it as uncharacterized. The transcript has 3 exons. NCBI's taxonomy places the organism in Eukaryota, Metazoa, Chordata, Actinopteri, Siluriformes, Ictaluridae. The record is from RefSeq and is a predicted model, not a curated record.
AUGAACGGUGAGCUUGAUGACUGGGCUUUCUCUACAAAGCCUUGGACAUCACUGAUUCUGCAGCAAUAUGGACACAUUAUUUAAAGUCUAUGCAUGUUACACUCACCGAUGAGAAAGGUUAAACCUCUGCACUAGCCGUCGGCCAUCUGCUAGCCAGAUCUGUAGACAUGUGAUGGGCAACGCUUCGUCCAGCUCCACUGGAGGGACCGGGGGGCCUGAGCAAUCUUCAUGGAUUGACCGAGACCUGACCACAACUCUAGGUGCCACGCUAGCCGAGAGAAAACGAGUAAGUGACCAAUCUGGAAUGUCUCAGUGGAUAAUGCGCUGUAUACCCCCGAUAUGUUGUGUGCAAUCAUCGGGC